CGAAUUCUCAUGACAUGUUCAGGUUUCCCUCUCAGGCUAUUAGAGGCUCUCUACAGUUUCUAUAGAUGACUCUGCUCCUUUCUUGAUCUCUAGCAUCACCCCUGGGCUCCAGGGCAAGGCUUCACCUUUUCUUGGCACCUGAAACCUCUGUUGACUUGUUCCUCUUCCCUUGAGUCCCCCAGCAAUUUCUUUGGGCAGGUUUUCCUUGCCUUGCCUACUUCAAAGCAACUUUCUAAGCAAAGUUGCUCUUCCUUCUUUAUUCAACACUGUGAAGUUUGGAGCAAGAGAAGAUUUCGAAGACACUCUGUUCUUUGUAUUCCCAGAACUGCAGCAUCACCUUUACCUGGGAGCUUGUGAGGACUGCAGAAUCUCAGUCUCCACCCCAAGCCUUCCAAAUUAGAAUCUCCAUUUUAAUAAGAGCCCAGAUGAUGGCACAGUGAAAACGCGGCCAUCUGAAAGCCAGGAAGAGAACCCUCGCAAGAACCCAACCAUGCUGGCAUCCCAAUCUUCAACUUCCAGCCUCCAGAACUGUAUGAGAAAAUACAUUUCUGUUGUUUAAGCCACUGUCUAUGGUACUUUGUUAUGACAGCCAAAGCUAAGACAAAA
This 606-nucleotide long non-coding RNA is filed under the name Homo sapiens (human). RNAcentral's name for it is "HSALNT0045891". The record is from RNAcentral. Lineage: Eukaryota; Metazoa; Chordata; Mammalia; Primates; Hominidae.